GACAGAGGUCCCGAGCGUUAGGCGGAAUCACUGGGCUUAAAGCGUGUGUAGGCGGAUUGGUAAGUACCUUGUGAAAUCCCACGGCUUAACCGUGGAACUGCUUGGUAUACUGCUUAUCUUGGGCCACUUAGGGGUUACCGGAACAAACGGUGGAGCGGUGAAAUGCGUAGAUAUCGAGAGGAACACCUGCGGCGAAGGCGGGUAGCUGGGCCGACACUGACGCUGAAGCGCGAAAGCCAGGGGAGCGAACGGG
RNAcentral lists this ribosomal RNA (253 nucleotides) under uncultured bacterium. Its description in RNAcentral is "partial 16S ribosomal RNA". It matches the Rfam family "Bacterial small subunit ribosomal RNA", at positions 524 to 776 of the family's 1533-position model. The record is from RNAcentral.